GGGGGAAACCCUGACGCAGCAACGCCGCGUGAGUGAUGAAGGCCUUCGGGUCGUAAAGCUCUUUUAGUGGGGAAGAAUCCCACCCGGGCUAAUACCUCGGGUGUCUGACGGUACCCACAGAAAAAGUUCCGGCUAACUACGUGCCAGCAGCCGCGGUAAUACGUAGGGAGCAAGCGUUGUUCGGAAUUAUUGGGCGUAAAGAGCGCGUAGGCGGUUCGGUAAGUCUGACGUGAAAUCCCGGAGCUCAACUCCGGAACUGCGUUGGAUACUGCCGAGCUUGAGUGUGGGAGAGGAGAGUGGAAUUCCCAGUGUAGAGGUGAAAUUCGUAAAUAUUGGGAGGAACACCCGUGGCGAAGGCGGCUCUCUGGACCACAACUGACGCUGAGGCGCGAAAGCUAGGGUAGCAAACGGGAUUAGAUACCCCGGUAGUCCUAGCCGUAAACGGUGGGCACUAGGUGUUGGAGGUAUCGACCCCUCCAGUGCCGCAGCUAACGCAUUAAGUGCCCCGCCUGGGGAGUAC
RNAcentral lists this ribosomal RNA (520 nucleotides) under uncultured bacterium. Its description in RNAcentral is "bacterial SSU rRNA". It matches the Rfam family "Bacterial small subunit ribosomal RNA", at positions 373 to 883 of the family's 1533-position model. The record is from RNAcentral.